UAGGGGGCAAGCGUUAUCCGGAUUUACUGGGUGUAAAGGGAGCGUAGACGGAAAGGCAAGUCAGAAGUGAAAACCCAAGGCUCAACCAUGGGACUGCUUUUGAAACUGUCAAACUAGAGUACGGGAGAGGUAAGAGGAAUUCCUAGUGUAGCGGUGAAAUGCGUAGAUAUUAGGAGGAACACCAGUGGCGAAGGCGUCUUACUGGACCGAAACUGACGUUGAGGCUCGAAAGCGUGGGGAGCAAA
RNAcentral lists this ribosomal RNA (245 nucleotides) under uncultured bacterium. RNAcentral describes it as "partial 16S ribosomal RNA". It matches the Rfam family "Bacterial small subunit ribosomal RNA", at positions 528 to 772 of the family's 1533-position model. The record is from RNAcentral.